UACGGGAGGCAGCAGUGGGGAAUAUUGCACAAUGGGCGCAAGCGUGAUCCAGCCAUGCCGCGUGAGUGAUGAAGGCCCUAGGGUAGUAAAGCUCUUUCACCGGUGAAGAUAAUGACGGUACCCGGAGAAGAAGCCCCGGCUAACUUCGUGCCAGCAGCCGCGGUAAUACGAAGGGGGCUAGCGUUGUUCGGAUUUACUGGGCGUAAAGCGCGCGUAGGCGGAUUGGUCAGUCAGGGGUGAAAUCCCAGGGCUCAACCCUGGAACUGCCUUUAAUACUGCCAGUCUUGAGUAUGAGAGAGGUGUGUGGAAUUCCGAGUGUAGAGGUGAAAUUCGUAGAUAUUCGGAGGAACACCAGUGGCGAAGGCGACUCACUGGUCCAUUACUGACGCUGAGGCGCGAAAGCGUGG
This 407-nucleotide ribosomal RNA is filed under the name uncultured Ochrobactrum sp. RNAcentral describes it as "bacterial SSU rRNA". It matches the Rfam family "Bacterial small subunit ribosomal RNA", at positions 340 to 764 of the family's 1533-position model. The record is from RNAcentral. Lineage: Bacteria; Pseudomonadati; Pseudomonadota; Alphaproteobacteria; Hyphomicrobiales; Brucellaceae.